UACGUAGGUGGCAAGCGUUAUCCGGAAUUAUUGGGCGUAAAGCGCGCGCAGGCGGUUUCUUAAGUCUGAUGUGAAAGCCCACGGCUCAACCGUGGAGGGUCAUUGGAAACUGGGGAACUUGAGUGCAGAAGAGAAAAGCGGAAUUCCACGUGUGGCGGUGAAAUGCGUAGAGAUGUGGAGGAACACCAGUGGCGAAGGCGGCUUUUUGGUCUGUAACUGACGCUGAGGCGCGAAAGCGUGGGGAGCAAACAGG
Molecule: ribosomal RNA, 253 nt
Filed under: uncultured bacterium
Lineage: Bacteria
Description: partial 16S ribosomal RNA
Rfam family: Bacterial small subunit ribosomal RNA
Source: RNAcentral